Non-coding RNA from Cicer arietinum (chickpea), 1464 nucleotides. The record is from RefSeq and is a predicted model, not a curated record. NCBI's taxonomy places the organism in Eukaryota, Viridiplantae, Streptophyta, Magnoliopsida, Fabales, Fabaceae.
UUAAGAUGAUAUCGGUGGCUGCGGUUUAGACACAAUAACAAUCAAAGUAAUGAAAACAAUGAGAAUAAUGACAAUUUUGAUUCUGCGCAAAAUAAUCACAAUCCUUAUUACAUCUUAUUGCAUCCAUCCAAGUGAGGGGAAAUUAAGAACAAGUUGGACUUUCUUGAUGGCACAAUUCCUCUCCCUGAUACUUUUGAUCCAGCACAUAAGUUUUGACUUCAAUGCAAUAGUUUGGUUCUUUCAUGGAUCAUAAAUUUUGUGUCUCCUUCAAUUGCACAAUGUUUGGCUUUUAAAGGUAAUGCUCAUAGUGUUUGGAAUUAAUGAGCUCAAAGAUAGUUUUCUCAAAGUGAUUUGAUUCUUAUUUCAGAUUACAAAAGGAAAUUAGUUCUUUAAAACAAGGUGAUUCUAUUGUUUCUAAGUCCUCAAUGUCCUUGUGAUCUUUCUAAGUAUACUAAAAAAGAUAAAGUUAUUAUCUUCUUGACUGGUUUGAAUGAACAGUUUGAAGUUAUGAAAUCUCAAGUACUUUUUGUUGAUCCUUUACUAAACAUAAACAAGGUUCUUUCUUUGAUAUUUCAACAAGAAAGGCAACAUGGGACUUUUAAUGAUAACUUUGAUUCCACAUCUUUUGCCAAUGAUGCUGAUGGUAAAAGAGGUUAUGGAAAAGGUAAGAAUGGAAGCAAGUAUUGCACUUUUUGUGGAAGAAUUGGACAUACUGCAUAGACAUGCUUAUGGAAACAUGGUUUUCCUUCAAAACCAAAGGGUAAUGGCUGCUCAAAUAAUGCUUGUGGUGAUCAUGAUGAUAAGUCAGAUGAUGAUUAAGGUAAUGAAAAAGAUGACUUAUCAAAGGAUCAGUCACCUUUCACCCAGGAACGAGUUUAAAGUAUAAUGAAUUUGGGUCAGAUAACAAAUAAUGGAUCAGGUGGUGCUGCAAAUGGAUCAGAUGCAUGAUGAGUUUGUGUAAAUCAGAGGCAUACAAGGGCUUUAGAGGUAUUCUUCAAAUUCAGUCUUCAAAUAAUCUUCAGAGGCAAUCUUCAUACUCAGUUUCAGUGCCAUUCUUCAGAGGCAGUCUUUAGACCCAGUCUUCAAACCCAAACUUCAGAUCCAUACAUCAUAGACAAUCUUUGUAACCUUCAGAGGCGUGUUACUUUCAGUGGUAUAUGCUCAAAUGCAGACACUCUAUAAGCUAAGUUUCCUUAUUUAAGCACUCUAUAAGCUUUAGAUAUUUUAGAGUAUCAAAUGAAGGUGCACUUUUGUGAUAUGGAAUCAAACUUACCAAGGUUGUCUUUAGUAUUUAACAUAUAACAAGUAUAACCAAAUUAUUUAAAUUAAGAGAUGUUAGGUUUUUUACCCUUCCAUAAUUCAUAUGGUGUUUUAUUCAGUAUUGACCUAAUUAUGAUUUUAUUUUGAAUAUAACAUGUAGUGGUGAAUUCUGAAGGUGCAAAUAUGUUGUCGUUAAUAAGUUAA